This is an RNA transcript of Harpia harpyja (harpy eagle), 1949 nucleotides long. It is a transcript of the gene named protein disulfide isomerase family A member 5, with no coding region annotated. The record is from RefSeq and is a predicted model, not a curated record. Lineage: Eukaryota; Metazoa; Chordata; Aves; Accipitriformes; Accipitridae. The transcript has 18 exons.
AGCAGCCCGCAGCGGCGGCGGGUCCGGAGCGGGUCCGGCUCGGCGGCGGCGAUGGCUGCGCCGGGGCAAGGCGCGGGGGCUGCGCGGCGCCGCGGGCGGCUCCCGCUGCUGCUGUUCGGCCUGGCGGCAUUCUUGCCGGCGUUCAUGUACUCAUUGAAGGUGUCUCCACUCAUAGAAAAAAUAAGUGACCACAAGGAUUUUAAGAAGCUUCUCAGGACACGGAAUAACAUACUAGCGCUGUAUUCCAAAUCUGCUGCUGCUGCGGAAAGCUCACUCAGGUUACUCUCCAGCGUGGCCCAGGAGGUGAAAGGACGAGGUACUAUAAGCUGGAUAGACUGCGGUGAUACUGAAAGCCGAAAAUUAUGCAAGAAGAUGAAAGUAGAUCCUAAUUCAAAGGAGAAAGGAGUGGAAUUACUCCAUUAUAAGGACGGUGCAUUUCAUACUGAAUAUAACAGAGCGGUCACAUUGAAGUCUAUGGUGGCUUUUCUCAAGGAUCCAGAAGGUGCCCCACUGUGGGAGGAAGAUCCUGAGGCCAAAGAUGUUGUGCAUGUUGACAGUGAAAAGGAAUUGAGAAGGCUUCUGAAGAAGGAAGACAAACCCCUUCUGAUGAUGUUCUAUGCCCCAUGGUGUGGUGUUUGUAAGAGAAUGAUGCCAUCUUAUCAGCAGGCAGCCACAGAACUGAAGGGUAAAUAUGUUCUUGCGGGGAUGAAUGUUUACUCUGCUGAAUUUGAAAGGAUAAAGGAAGAAUACAAUGUCCGGGGAUAUCCUACAAUCUGCUAUUUUGAGAAAGGAAAGUUCCUGUUCCACUUUGAGAACUAUGGUGCUACUGCGGCAGAUAUAGCAGAGUGGCUGAAAAACCCACAGGCACCUCAGCCACAGGCUCCAGAGACUCCCUGGGCAGAUGAAGAAAAUGUAGUUUAUCACCUGACUGAUGAGGACUUCGACAAGUUUAUAAAAGAUCAUUCAUCUGUGCUAGUGAUGUUCCAUGCACCAUGGUGUGGGCACUGUAAGAAAAUGAAGCCAGAAUAUGAGAAGGCUGCAGAGUUUCUCCAUGUAGCCAGUGAUAGUCCAGGUGUCCUUGCAGCAGUCGAUGCUACCGUCAACAAGGCGCUGGCAGAAAGAUACCACAUCUCAGGGUUUCCUACUUUGAAGUAUUUUAAGGAUGGAGAGGAGAAAUACACUCUGCCACACCUCAGAACAAAGAAGAAGAUCAUAGACUGGCUGCUAAAUCCUGAAGCACCACCUCCACCUGAGCCUGCGUGGGAAGAAAAACAGACUAGUGUUAUCCACCUUGCUGGAGAAGACUUCAGGGAGUCCUUGAAGAAGAAGAAGCACACCCUUGUCAUGUUCUAUGCACCAUGGUGUCCCCACUGCAAAAAUGCCAUUCCGCAUUUUACAACUGCUGCCGAAGUCUUUAAAGAAGAUCGAAAGUGUCACCAUGAAACUGGAGGGCAUUGUGGAAUAUUAAGUGAUCUUUUAAUUAUGGAAGAACAGUUCAACUGCAACCCUAAAGUCAUGCAAGCAAAAGAUCGCCUACGCUGCAGUGGACUGCGCCAAAGGACAGAAUCACGACCUGUGUAAGCAGGAGGGGGUUGAUGGCUACCCCACCUUCAACUAUUACAACUAUGGGAAAUUUGUGGAAAAAUAUACUGGAGAAAGAGGGGAGUCCGGAUUCACCACUUUCAUGCGAACCCUGAGAGAAAGAGACCAUGAAAGAGUAGGAAAGAAGAAGGAUGAAUUGUAGUUUCUGCCUCAAAAGAAGCUUUCCGCUGCACUGUGAAUAGUUCCAGGUCUUUUGUUAAUGCACCUGAGACUUCACAUAUUCUCAAGACAGAGACUUUUUUUUAUAAACAGCCAUGGCCAUUUUGUACAAUUUUGAAAUAAAGUGAAACCACUUGAUUUUUAAAAGGAAAAUAAAUUAGAAUGUUGCCAUAAUGUUUUAAAGAAAA